CACUUGUUCUCCAAAUAAGGACUUGUAUGAAUGGCCACACGAGGGUUUUACUGUCUCUUACUUCCAAUCAGUGAAAUUGACCUUCCCGUGAAGAGGCGGGAAUAAAAAAAUAAGACGAGAAGACCCUAUGGAGCUUUAAUUAACUAUUCCAAAAGUUAAACAAUUCAACCACAAAGGGAUAAAACAUAACUUAACAUGGACUAGCAAUUUCGGUUGGGGUGACCUCGGAGUACAAAAAACCCUCCGAGUGAUUUUAAUCUAGACAAACCAGUCAAAAUAACCAUAACAUCACUUAUUGAUCCAAAAUUUUGAUCAACGGAACAAGUUACCCUAGGGAUAACAGCGCAAUCCUAUUCUAGAGUUCCUAUCGACAAUAGGGUUUACGACCUCGAUGUUGGAUCAGGACACCCAAAUGGUGCAACCGCUAUUAAAGGUUCGUUUGUUCAACGAUAAAGUCCU
RNAcentral lists this ribosomal RNA (459 nucleotides) under Sus scrofa (pig). Its description in RNAcentral is "partial large subunit ribosomal RNA". It matches the Rfam family "Bacterial large subunit ribosomal RNA", at positions 1966 to 2597 of the family's 2925-position model. Lineage: Eukaryota; Metazoa; Chordata; Mammalia; Artiodactyla; Suidae. The record is from RNAcentral.